RNAcentral lists this ribosomal RNA (2048 nucleotides) under Triticum aestivum (bread wheat). Its description in RNAcentral is "partial small subunit ribosomal RNA". Lineage: Eukaryota; Viridiplantae; Streptophyta; Magnoliopsida; Poales; Poaceae. The record is from RNAcentral.
UACUUCCUCAACGAUGCGUGUUGGUUACCGAGCUCGCGUGGCGUGGUGCACUUCUUUUUUUUGGUGGCGUUGCGCUGGCGCGCACUCUUUUUUGUCGCUCCCAGUCCGCUCGCGUGGCGUGGUGCGCUCCCUUUUCUGGUGGCGAGGCGGGCAGGCGAAAGAGGAAGUAGGGGCAAGGGAGGAGAGGUUGGCGGGCAGGAGGAGCUCGGGGCGGGGCGCAGGGAGGAGGAGGAGGGACGAGCGAGUGUAGCGCCCGCCGCGGUGGAGGAGCGAUCCGGGUAGAGACGGGUGGGAGAGAAGGAGCGCUAAGCCUCGUCUUCCUGCCUACGCCGGUGGGUCCGCAGCCGCGGCCGCGGCCGCGCCCUAAUAUCUCCUCUCCCCUGUAGCUACCGGUCCGUUCCUUCCUGCUCCCCCUUAGACCACCUCCACUACUCCCUCGACGAUUCCACCCCGUCCUCUCCUGCCGAGCGGCUGUUCGAGCUCAACCUCCGCCACUCUAGAAAAGGAAGUACGGAAGGGUGGACGACUCGAGCAACCAGGAGGAGGGAGGGGACACGCCGGCAGAAGCAGGAAGUAGCGAGCUAAAUGCUAGUUGGGGACCAUGCGGAGGUAGGAAGCAGAGAACGAGGCACCGGGCCUACAACUCUCUCCCGCUCUCCGCCACAGCGCCACUAUACGUCCCCACUCCCUCUACCUCCGCCACUGGGCGUCGAGGAUAACUUCCCCGCCUCUUCUCCCCCAUGAGCACACUCGCCUCUUCUCCCCCAUGAGCACACCUUCUUUAGCCCUCCUUCGCAACCGUCACUGUCCAGCACCUAGUAGACACGAACACGUCUAAAAUAAAGACAUGCGGAUGUUCCACAAGCUGCUUUUAGGGUCUUCCGACCGUCCCCUUCUUACUAGAUACAUUCGGUACACUAAAGGACUAAGUCGACGUCAGUUCAUUAAGAUUAUCCUUCUGACAACCAAGUUGACUUCUACGCCUCAGUCACACACCUGUCGAACAACCAUCUCAGGUAUUUUUUUAAGGUUGGUCAGUAUUGGCGGGACGGAGCGAAGGCUGCCACGACGACCAACGAGUCCAAGGAUCCCCUGCAGAGUACCAACAAUAGAUACCCUCCUCUCCUACUGUAGGUGUCGUCAUUCGCCGUGCGACGGGGUCGGUCGGCAGUAUGUACCGGCGCAGCUAAAAGGCAAUGGAACGGAGGACGACAAGCUAAAAGGAGAAAACGAAUGAAGAGGAAGGUCACAACCACGCCCUAGCAAGCCAAGUAACAAGUAACAAGGCGACCGACGAGUCCAAACGGUUGUUGUAGUCAAACAACAAAAGAGGGUCUCCACCUAAUAAAGACGCCCCAACUCGAGGAGGUACUGGGCUAAAGAAUGGAACGACCAACACAGUAUACCGUCAGCCGUAAACGAACUACUUACAAAGUCAAGAUGAUGACAAAGUGGUGGGGUGGUACUCGAGCCGGAAGUCGGCACAAAUAAGAGAAAGGAAAGAGAUUAAGUAAAUAUAUAAAGUACCCAUCCCAUACCUAUCGGACUACUCUCGUCGGGUCAUCGGCGUGGAGGCGUUGAAACGGUUAGAGAGCUCCAAAUGCGUAUCGGGAUAUUCUUCUAGUUAGUAGCUACUGAACGGCUAAAUGUCCUCUUUUGUCCAACCCCCCUAUACUCCGAUAACCAGAAAUAAGGAAGUACAUCCAACUCCAUAAAGCCUCAACCAAGUGAGCCUUUUUUCCACACAACUACCAAACUCAAAAACGUAGUCGUCGUUCAGUCUAAAAAAGAUGGCCCCUCGUAGUUGGAAGAAGGGGGGUACUAGCAAUGAAACAACCGUACUCGAAAGAUCUUACAUAACAAACUAACAGAGGGUACAAUCGUCUAUCCAUGAUCGAUCUUGUGGGAAAAAUUACUACAUAAAGUACCUAUGUAACACUACCUCGUAAUCAACCGAACGGAAAACACAGUGAGUGAGUAACUGCUUAAAAAGUCAAAUCCUCCAAAACACCGGAGAACCAAGUCUUACGUUUAUUUGUUAUACGCGG